UUUUUACUUAAAAAGGCAAAUAUUUUAAUAGCUUCAUUACCUGUCAAUUAUAAUUGUGCAAAAAAAAAAAAAAAAAGUUGGUGCUUCAACCUCUCUGCUAACUGAAUGCCUCUAAGACGUGGAGAGGAAAAAAAAAGUUCAAGUACGCUGAAUGCAACUUUGCAAUGAAAUCAACAACAAAAGAAACUCAACGGAAACGGGAACAAAAUGUCACACGGAUGCCCCGCUGUCUGUCUUUGCACCAGCAAUCAUGUUUCUUUCCAUGUCCAAAGGGGAAGUACAGAGGUGGGAAUUAAGAUCCUUGUGUGCCAUCAAAAUGGUUACAGAUCUCUGCUUUUAGGAAUGUUGUCAUAGGGAUUUUCGCGGAAGGGGAUGUGUCUUUUGAGUCCCCGGAGGGGAACCCAGAGAGUGUCGGAUACAGGACAGCAACCUGACUC
RNAcentral lists this long non-coding RNA (437 nucleotides) under Bos taurus (domestic cattle). Its description in RNAcentral is "long non-coding RNA NONBTAT021553". The record is from RNAcentral. Lineage: Eukaryota; Metazoa; Chordata; Mammalia; Artiodactyla; Bovidae.